GACGAAGGGGGCUAGCGUUGUUCGGAAUUACUGGGCGUAAAGCGCACGUAGGCGGCUUUGUAAGUUAGAGGUGAAAGCCCGGGGCUCAACUCCGGAAUUGCCUUUAAGACUGCAUCGCUAGAAUUGUGGAGAGGUAAGUGGAAUUCCGAGUGUAGAGGUGAAAUUCGUAGAUAUUCGGAAGAACACCAGUGGCGAAGGCGACUUACUGGACACAUAUUGACGCUGAGGUGCGAAAGCGUGGGGAGCAAACAGG
RNAcentral lists this ribosomal RNA (253 nucleotides) under uncultured bacterium. RNAcentral describes it as "partial 16S ribosomal RNA". It matches the Rfam family "Bacterial small subunit ribosomal RNA", at positions 524 to 776 of the family's 1533-position model. The record is from RNAcentral.